AUUGAACGCUGGCGGCAGGCCUAACCCUUGCAAGUCGAGCGGAGCGGCGGACGGGUGAGUAAUGCCUAGGCAUCUGCCUGGUAGUAGGGGGUAACGUCCGGAAACAGGGGCUAAUAACGCAUCCCUCCAGAUGAGCCUAGGUCGUAUUAGCUAGUUGUUGGGGUAAAGGCCUACCAAGGCGACGAUCCGUAACUGGUCUGAGAGGAUGAUCAGUCACACUGGAACUGAGACACGGUCCAGACUCCUACGGGAGGCAGCAGUGGGGAAUAUUGGACAAUGGGCGAAAGCCUGAUGCAGCCAUGCCGCGUGUGUGAAGAAGGUCUUCGGAUUGUAAAGCACUUUAAGUUGGGAGGCGUUACCAACAGAAGAAGCACCGGCUAACUUCGUGCCAGCAGCCGCGGUAAUUC
Molecule: ribosomal RNA, 407 nt
Filed under: uncultured bacterium
Lineage: Bacteria
Description: partial 16S ribosomal RNA
Rfam family: Bacterial small subunit ribosomal RNA
Source: RNAcentral